RNAcentral lists this ribosomal RNA (347 nucleotides) under Celeuthetini gen. 4 sp. 1 MB-2015. RNAcentral's name for it is "partial 16S ribosomal RNA". The record is from RNAcentral. Lineage: Eukaryota; Metazoa; Arthropoda; Insecta; Coleoptera; Curculionidae.
GAUCACUUAUUCRURAAUAAAUGUUUAAAUGUAAAAAAAGUUUAAUAAAUUUUUUAAUCACCCCAACCAAAUUAAUUAAUAUAUAAAAAUAAAUAAAUUCUAAAAAUCUCUAUAUAAUUUUCAAUAAAACUCUAUAGGGUCUUCUCGUCUUUUAUUUACAUUUAAGCUUUUUAACUUAAAAAUAAAAUUCUAAAAAAUUUAAAUAGAGACAGUUAUUCCCCCAUCCAACCUUUCAUUCCAGCUUUCAAUUAAAAAACUAAUGAUUAUGCUACCUUUGCACGGUCAAAAUACCGCGGCCAUUUAAUAAAUCUCAUUGGGCAGGCUAGACCUUAAAUUAUUAUCAAAAA